This 253-nucleotide ribosomal RNA is filed under the name uncultured bacterium. Its description in RNAcentral is "partial 16S ribosomal RNA". It matches the Rfam family "Bacterial small subunit ribosomal RNA", at positions 524 to 776 of the family's 1533-position model. The record is from RNAcentral.
UACGAAGGGGGCUAGCGUUGUUCGGAAUUACUGGGCGUAAAGCGCGUGUAGGCUGCCCGGCAAGUCGGGCGUGAAAGCCCUGGGCUCAACCCAGGAACUGCACUCGAAACUCCCGGUCUAGAGUGGUGGAGAGGGAAGUGGAAUUCCUAGUGUAGAGGUGAAAUUCGUAGAUAUCAGGAGGAACACCAGUGGCGAAGGCGGCUUCCUGGACACCAACUGACGCUGAGACGCGAAAGCGUGGGGAGCAAACAGG